This 253-nucleotide ribosomal RNA is filed under the name uncultured bacterium. Its description in RNAcentral is "partial 16S ribosomal RNA". It matches the Rfam family "Bacterial small subunit ribosomal RNA", at positions 524 to 776 of the family's 1533-position model. The record is from RNAcentral.
UACGGAGGAGGCAAGCGUUAUCCGGAAUUAUUGGGCGUAAAGCGUCCGUAGGUGGUUGGCCAAGUCUGCUGUCAACGGGUGGGGCUUAACCUCAUAAAGGCAGUGGAAACUGGCGAGCUAGAGUGCGGUAGGGGUAGGGGGAAUUCCCAGUGUAGCGGUGAAAUGCGUAGAGAUUGGGAAGAACAUCGGUGGCGAAAGCGCCCUGUUGGGCCUGUACUGACACUGAGGUACGAAAGCUAGGGGAGCGAAAGGG